This 466-nucleotide ribosomal RNA is filed under the name uncultured bacterium. RNAcentral's name for it is "partial 16S ribosomal RNA". It matches the Rfam family "Bacterial small subunit ribosomal RNA", at positions 30 to 507 of the family's 1533-position model. The record is from RNAcentral.
CGAACGCUGGCGGCGUGCUUCACACAUGCAAGUCGAACGGAAAGGCCCUGCUUUUGUGGGGUGCUCGAGUGGCGAACGGGUGAGUAACACGUGAGUAACCUGCCCUUGACUUUGGGAUAACUUCCGGAAACUGGGGCUAAUACCGGAUAGGAGCUCCUGCUGCAUGGUGGGGGUUGGAAAGUUUCGGCGGUUGGGGAUGGACUCGCGGCUUAUCAGCUUGUUGGUGGGGUAGUGGCUUACCAAGGCUUUGACGGGUAGCCGGCCUGAGAGGGUGACCGGCCACAUUGGGACUGAGAGACGGCCCAGACUCCUACGGGAGGCAGCAGUGGGGAAUAUUGCACAAUGGGCGGAAGCCUGAUGCAGCAACGCCGCGUGCGGGAUGACGGCCUUCGGGUUGUAAACCGCUUUCGCCUGUGGCGAAGCGUGAGUGACGGUAAUGGGUAAAGAAGCACCGGCUAACUACGUG